This 263-nucleotide long non-coding RNA is filed under the name Elaeis guineensis (African oil palm). Its description in RNAcentral is "long non-coding RNA (EGUI_LNC051156)". Lineage: Eukaryota; Viridiplantae; Streptophyta; Magnoliopsida; Arecales; Arecaceae. The record is from RNAcentral.
GUGCAUCUAAUUAAUAAUUAAUUAUCUAACUAAUUAAUUAAAUUAAUAUUUAAUUAAUUUUUAGUGACAACACUCUAGCCAUCACUAAUGCCGUCACUAAUAGUAGACAACAUUUGUCAUCGCUAAUGCCAUCGCUAAUACUCAUAAUGCUGAUGCGUGGAUGGAUCGUGGAGUAGAUGCAGCGGGAUAGGGCCGAGGCAGCGGGGCUGGGGGCGGUGGGGCCGGGGUGAGGGCCAUGGGGCUAUGGGCUAAGGGCAGUGGGG